GUGCCAGCAGCCGCGGUAAUACCGGCAGCUCAAGUGAUGGCCACUCUUAUUGGGCCUAAAGCGUCCGUAGCUGGCUGCGCAAGUCCGUCGGGAAAUCCACUCGCCCAACGAGUGGGCGUCCGACGGAAAUUGCACAGCUUGGGACCGGAAGGCUCGAAGGGUACGUUCGGGGUAGGAGUGAAAUCCCAUAAUCCCGCACGGACCACCGAUGGCGAAAGCACUUCGAGAAAACGGAUCCGACAGUGAGGGACGAAAGCUCGGGUCUCAAACCGGAUUAGAUACCCCAGUAGUCC
Molecule: ribosomal RNA, 293 nt
Filed under: uncultured bacterium
Lineage: Bacteria
Description: partial 16S ribosomal RNA
Rfam family: Archaeal small subunit ribosomal RNA
Source: RNAcentral